RNAcentral lists this ribosomal RNA (446 nucleotides) under uncultured bacterium. Its description in RNAcentral is "partial 16S ribosomal RNA". It matches the Rfam family "Bacterial small subunit ribosomal RNA", at positions 338 to 795 of the family's 1533-position model. The record is from RNAcentral.
CCUACGGGAGGCAGCAGUAGGGAAUUUUCGGCAAUGGGGGGAACCCUGACCGAGCAACGCCGCGUGAACGAAGAAGUUAUUCGUAAUGUAAAGUUUUUUUAAAAGGGAAGAAAGAGAAAUUUGACGGUACCUGAAGAAUAAGCUUCGGGUAAACACGUGACAGCAGCCGCGGCAAUACGGAGGGGGCGAGCGUUAUCCGGAAUUAUUGGGCGAAAAGGUUGCGUAGGUGGCAUAGUAAGUCUGUUGUAAAAAUGCUGGGCUAAACCCAGUAGGGCAAAAGAUACUGCAAAGCUAGAGUAUGACAGAGGCAAGUGGAACUACAUGUGUAGCGGUAAAAUGCGUAAAUAUAUGUAAGAACACCAGUGGCGAAGGCAGCUUGCUGGGUCGAUACUGACAUUGAGGCACGAAAGCGUGGGGAGCAAACAGGAUUAGAUACCCCUGUAGUC